AACAACUCACCUGCCGAAUGAAUUAGCCCUGAAAAUGGAUGGCGCUCAAGCGGGUAGCCGAAACUGUGCCAUCUGGCCCAAAAAUAUUGUUGACAGAUGAGUAGGAAGGAAACGUAGCGGUUGUAUAGAAGCGUGUGCGCAAGCAUGCGUGGAACGGCCGCUAGUGCAGAUCUUGGUGGUAGUAGCAAAUAUUCAAAUGAGAUCCUUGAAGGGCGAAGCGGGGAAGGGUUCCAUGCGAACAUUGAUUGGGCAUGGGUGAGUCGUUCCUAAGCCGUCUGGUAAUUUGCUAGACAUUUCGGCGAAAGGGAAGCAGGUUGAUAUUCCUGCACACGGAUGUGGAAAUGCGGUGACGCACACUGGGGCGGUGAAUGUGUUUUGUGUGAAAAAAUUCCACGCCGUAAGGUACCCAUACCCGCAUCAGGUCCCCAAGGUGAACAGCCUCUGCUCGAUAUGAAAAAUGCAGGUGAGGGAAGUCGGCAAAUUAGACCCGUAACUUUGGGAAAAGGGUUGGCUCUAGUGCUGUGUAGGAGUGGUUGCUGGUUGUAGCCGUGAAUUGGGUUGAUUUUGGCCGGAGGUUUGGAAAGAAAGGGAAAAAAAAUGUGCAUUCGUGUGCAUUUGGACCCCAAUUUUUUCAAGCCAUCGUGUGUGAAAAUUACCCGGUUUGUGGUUCCUAGCGACUGCCUACAGCAUGCAGCAAACUAGAACUGCAACGGACAAAGGGAAUCCGACUGUUUAAUUAAAACAAAGCAUU
Molecule: ribosomal RNA, 751 nt
Filed under: Bostrychia binderi
Lineage: Eukaryota; Rhodophyta; Florideophyceae; Ceramiales; Rhodomelaceae
Description: eukaryotic LSU rRNA
Rfam family: Eukaryotic large subunit ribosomal RNA
Source: RNAcentral